This 456-nucleotide ribosomal RNA is filed under the name Pedobacter sp. Lake-F120A. Its description in RNAcentral is "bacterial SSU rRNA". It matches the Rfam family "Bacterial small subunit ribosomal RNA", at positions 56 to 510 of the family's 1533-position model. The record is from RNAcentral. Lineage: Bacteria; Pseudomonadati; Bacteroidota; Sphingobacteriia; Sphingobacteriales; Sphingobacteriaceae.
UGCAGUCGAACGAUACCGAGAGGCUUGCUUCUCGGGAAAGUGGCGCACGGGUGCGUAACGCGUAUGCAACCUACCUCAAUCAGGGGGAUAGCCCGAAGAAAUUCGGAUUAACACCGCAUAAAAUCACAGGAUAGCAUUAUCUAAUGAUCAAAUAUUUAUAGGAUUGAGAUGGGCAUGCGUGUCAUUAGUUAGUUGGCGAGGUAACGGCUCACCAAGACCACGAUGACUAGGGGAUCUGAGAGGAUGACCCCCCACACUGGUACUGAGACACGGACCAGACUCCUACGGGAGGCAGCAGUAAGGAAUAUUGGUCAAUGGAGGCAACUCUGAACCAGCCAUGCCGCGUGCAGGAAGACAGCCCUCUGGGUCGUAAACUGCUUUUAUUCGGGAAUAAACCUACUUACGUGUAAGUAGCUGAAUGUACCGAAGGAAUAAGGAUCGGCUAACUCCGUGCCA